This 1592-nucleotide long non-coding RNA is filed under the name Sus scrofa (pig). RNAcentral's name for it is "lncRNA (ENSSSCG00035076404.1)". Lineage: Eukaryota; Metazoa; Chordata; Mammalia; Artiodactyla; Suidae. The record is from RNAcentral.
GGCUAGGGGUCUAAUUGGAGCUAUAGCUACUGGCCUAUGCCACAGCCACAGCAACGCCAGAUCCAAGCCACGUCUGUGACCUACACCACAACUCACGGCAAUGCCGGAUCCCUAACCCACUGAGUGAGGUCAGGGAUCGAACCUGCUACCUUCAUGGUUCCUAGUGGGAUUCGUUAACCACUGAGCCACGACGGGAACUCCGACAUCAGACAUUUUAAAGAACCCAAAUCAGCCUUGUGAACCCAAACUAAGGACAUACAACCUUUUGAUGACUGAGGCAUGGUUGUUGAGUAAAUUACUACUAAUGAUAAUGAUUCCAGUGACCUGUUAUACUUGUCCUCUGCUAGGUCUUGUUUUAAGUAUAUUAAGUGGUUUAUUUUCUUCUCACACUUACCCUAUGGUGGAAUGCUUUGCCAUACCUGUUGGACAGGGAAUGGCACAGAGGCUUGGAGAGUUGAAGUGACCUGCCUUGGUCAUACCUCACUAAGUAGCAGUGGGGUCAGACCUCGGAUGUGUCUGGCUGUAGAGUGCACCUUGCUACCAUUUGGCUUUAACUACUCCAUGGAAAUCUUCCCUCUCAUUUUUAGCUCUUCCCCGCCAACCCCCACUGUGAAGUAUUACACAGAAGUUCUGAGAACAAACGAGUGCAAGUUACACAAUAUAGGUUUUAGAAAUAAUGUGCAAAACCCAUCCAGGACCUCUUAAUUCCGUCAACCACAAGUCCUGCCCAGCCCAUUGGCUCUCUUCUCAUAUCCAGAAGCUGCUGCCUCCUUCUGACUCAACGUGGCAGGGAAAAUAGGCAGUUUCUCUCUAGUGUGUCUCAGGUCUCUUCUGGCCACUCAGCCCUGGCGUGAGUUCCCAACUUCCCAGGUGAACCAGCCAGCUUGUUCUUGAGAGGAGAGAACUUGUAGCUUUCUCUCAGGGGACCCCCAGUAUUAAUGGUACCAUCUCCUCCACUGAUCUGCUGUAUGGAUAACUAUGUUGAUCUUUUAUUCCUGGUAUUUGUUCCUUACUCUCUUGGGCCUCAGAGCAGCAGCACAUAAUUAUUGAGACUCCCAUAGUCUUCUUAUUUCACUUUGCUAUUUUGGAGAAAUCCUGGUCCUUACCAUCACGAAGGACACUCACUGUACAGAGGUGCUCUUGUCCCUGUCUUUGGGGUGGUGAUGGAAUUACAUUUGGGUUUCCUGGCAGCCUUGCCUUUGAAGGUAAUGGACCAUUCAGUGGCACUGUCUGUAUCUGUGUAGAGCCGACUUCGGAUGUAGGAGUUGACUCAGUUUCUCUCUCUCCACUUUUUCUUCAGACGUGGAAUCGAGUAUUAAAAUUUUAUUUCUUCUUACUGAGUCAUAGAGGCAGAAAUCCCCUAGAGGAGACUCAGUGCCUUUCACCUUUUUACCACCAACCACUCAAGCCUCCCCCUUGGCCUGAAACCUAGGGGGGUGGCAACUUCUGUUCCAGUAUCUAAGUGAAGCUCAGGAAGGCUUUUCCAUGUGCCUGUUUUUCAGGAUGCCUGUUUAGGAGUUGUUUAAUUCAAUGGGCGUUGGCUCAAGCGGUUCCUGUUAUAAAAUCUCCUAGUAUUCAAAAACAAUUAGGUU